RNAcentral lists this ribosomal RNA (616 nucleotides) under Salmonella enterica subsp. enterica. RNAcentral describes it as "partial 23S ribosomal RNA". It matches the Rfam family "Bacterial large subunit ribosomal RNA", at positions 911 to 1529 of the family's 2925-position model. Lineage: Bacteria; Pseudomonadati; Pseudomonadota; Gammaproteobacteria; Enterobacterales; Enterobacteriaceae. The record is from RNAcentral.
UGUUUCGGCUAGGGGGCCAUCCCGGCUUACCAACCCGAUGCAAACUGCGAAUACCGGAGAAUGUUAUCACGGGAGACACACGGCGGGUGCUAACGUCCGUCGUGAAGAGGGAAACAACCCAGACCGCCAGCUAAGGUCCCAAAGUCAUGGUUAAGUGGGAAACGAUGUGGGAAGGCCCAGACAGCCAGGAUGUUGGCUUAGAAGCAGCCAUCAUUUAAAGAAAGCGUAAUAGCUCACUGGUCGAGUCGGCCUGCGCGGAAGAUGUAACGGGGCUAAACCAUGCACCGAAGCUGCGGCAGCGACACUGUGUGUUGUUGGGUAGGGGAGCGUUCUGUAAGCCUGUGAAGGUGUGUCGUGAGGCAUGCUGGAGGUAUCAGAAGUGCGAAUGCUGACAUAAGUAACGAUAAAGCGGGUGAAAAGCCCGCUCGCCGGAAGACCAAGGGUUCCUGUCCAACGUUAAUCGGGGCAGGGUGAGUCGACCCCUAAGGCGAGGCCGAAAGGCGUAGUCGAUGGGAAACGGGUUAAUAUUCCCGUACUUGGUGUUACUGCGAAGGGGGGACGGAGAAGGCUAUGUUGGCCGGGCGACGGUUGUCCCGGUUUAAGCGUGUAGGUGUGU